AGUGAACGCUGGCGGUAGGCCUAACACAUGCAAGUCGAACGGCAGCACAGUAAGAGCUUGCUCUUACGGGUGGCGAGUGGCGGACGGGUGAGGAAUACAUCGGAAUCUACUUUUUCGUGGGGGAUAACGUAGGGAAACUUACGCUAAUACCGCAUACGACCUACGGGUGAAAGCAGGGGAUCUUCGGACCUUGCGCGAUUGAAUGAGCCGAUGUCGGAUUAGCUAGUUGGCGGGGUAAAGGCCCACCAAGGCGACGAUCCGUAGCUGGUCUGAGAGGAUGAUCAGCCGCACUGGAACUGAGACACGGUCCAGACUCCUACGGGAGGCAGCAGUGGGGAAUAUUGGACAAUGGGCACAAGCCUGAUCCAGCCAUACCGCGUGGGUGAAGAAGGCCUUCGGGUUGUAAAGCCCUUUUGUUGGGAAAGAAAAGCAGCAGGUUAAUACCCCGCUGUUCUGACGGUACCCAAAGAAUAAGCACCGGCUAACUUCGUG
RNAcentral lists this ribosomal RNA (492 nucleotides) under uncultured bacterium. RNAcentral's name for it is "partial 16S ribosomal RNA". It matches the Rfam family "Bacterial small subunit ribosomal RNA", at positions 29 to 507 of the family's 1533-position model. The record is from RNAcentral.